This 501-nucleotide ribosomal RNA is filed under the name uncultured bacterium. Its description in RNAcentral is "partial 16S ribosomal RNA". It matches the Rfam family "Bacterial small subunit ribosomal RNA", at positions 30 to 523 of the family's 1533-position model. The record is from RNAcentral.
AUUGAACGCUGGCGGCAGGCUUAACACAUGCAAGUCGAGCGGGGUGAUGGUGCUUGCACUAUCACUUAGCGGCGGACGGGUGAGUAAUGCUUAGGAAUCUGCCUAUUAGUGGGGGACAACAUCCCGAAAGGGAUGCUAAUACCGCAUACGUCCUACGGGAGAAAGCAGGGGAUCACUUGUGACCUUGCGCUAAUAGAUGAGCCUAAGUCGGAUUAGCUAGUUGGUGGGGUAAAGGCCUACCAAGGCGACGAUCUGUAGCGGGUCUGAGAGGAUGAUCCGCCACACUGGGACUGAGACACGGACCAGACUCCUACGGGAGGCAGCAGUGGGGAAUAUUGGACAAUGGGGGGAACCCUGAUCCAGCCAUGCCGCGUGUGUGAAGAAGGCCUUAUGGUCGUAAAGCACUUUAAGCGAGGAGGAGGCUCUUGGUUAAUACCCAAGAUGAGUGGACGUUACUCGCAGAAUAAGCACCGGCUAACUCUGUGCCAGCCGCCGCCGUAA